RNAcentral lists this ribosomal RNA (552 nucleotides) under Salmonella enterica subsp. indica. RNAcentral describes it as "partial 23S ribosomal RNA". It matches the Rfam family "Bacterial large subunit ribosomal RNA", at positions 711 to 1259 of the family's 2925-position model. The record is from RNAcentral. Lineage: Bacteria; Pseudomonadati; Pseudomonadota; Gammaproteobacteria; Enterobacterales; Enterobacteriaceae.
AGACCCGAAACCCGGUGAUCUAGCCAUGGGCAGGUUGAAGGUUGGGUAACACUAACUGGAGGACCGAACCGACUAAUGUUGAAAAAUUAGCGGAUGACCUGUGGCUGGGGGUGAAAGGCCAAUCAAACCGGGAGAUAGCUGGUUCUCCCCGAAAGCUAUUUAGGUAGCGCCUCGUGAAUUCAUCUCCGGGGGUAGAGCACUGUUUCGGCUAGGGGGCCAUCCCGGCUUACCAACCCGAUGCAAACUGCGAAUACCGGAGAAUGUUAUCACGGGAGACACACGGCGGGUGCUAACGUCCGUCGUGAAGAGGGAAACAACCCAGACCGCCAGCUAAGGUCCCAAAGUCAUGGUUAAGUGGGAAACGAUGUGGGAAGGCCCAGACAGCCAGGAUGUUGGCUUAGAAGCAGCCAUCAUUUAAAGAAAGCGUAAUAGCUCACUGGUCGAGUCGGCCUGCGCGGAAGAUGUAACGGGGCUAAACCAUGCACCGAAGCUGCGGCAGCAACACUUAAGUGUUGUUGGGUAGGGGAGCGUUCUGUAAGCCGUUGAAGGUGU